Molecule: ribosomal RNA, 573 nt
Filed under: Triticum aestivum (bread wheat)
Lineage: Eukaryota; Viridiplantae; Streptophyta; Magnoliopsida; Poales; Poaceae
Description: partial small subunit ribosomal RNA
Source: RNAcentral
AUGGAAUUAAGGGAGUUGGCUCGCUUCUUAAUGCAGGGAACAGUGAGUUAUGACGACCUACUUUGGCAGCCGGGUUUAUGGAAUGCCAACACAAAGAUGGAGUUCAUUAGAGAAAUACAUUUUAUGGUUGACAUGGAUCGUGAUGCAAAUAACAAGCUACCAUAUGCACAGACAAAGAAAGGAUGUCAACUCGCGAAGAAGAAGUCUCUUGGACUAUUUGAUCUCAUGCAAGAGUUUACAAAACCAAAAGAUGAGAAUAACAUACCACGAGAACGUAAGGAGGACCACUUGCUUGAUUCAGUUUUAUUCUUGAGGAACAAAAUUGUCGCUCACUACGAUGACGAGUACAAAGCGUUUUCAGGUCAAAAGGAGAAAAUUGGCACAACUAAGGCUCAGAUUGAGAGAUAUGUACAACAUAGCAAGGGUGAUUACAUGAUAAAACUGGCGAGAGCCAUAAAGGAGUUAGGGUGGUUCGAUUCGUCUCCACUUCUUCGAGGUAAAACCCACUAUAUGGAAGGAUUCUACAACCUGAGGAUAUCCGAUGGGAAAGGAAAAGGCAAAGCAAAACGUUGA